RNAcentral lists this ribosomal RNA (547 nucleotides) under Aspergillus calidoustus. RNAcentral's name for it is "eukaryotic LSU rRNA". The stretch from base 159 to 312 matches the Rfam family "5.8S ribosomal RNA". The record is from RNAcentral. Lineage: Eukaryota; Fungi; Ascomycota; Eurotiomycetes; Eurotiales; Aspergillaceae.
UACGAAGUGCAGUCUGCCCCCGGGCAGGCCUAACCUCCCACCCGUGAAUACCUGACCAACGUUGCUUCGGCGGUGCGCCCCCCCCGGGGGUAGCCGCCGGAGACCACACCGAACCUCCUGUCUUUAGUGUUGUCUGAGCUUGAUAGCAAACCUAUUAAAACUUUCAACAAUGGAUCUCUUGGUUCCGGCAUCGAUGAAGAACGCAGCGAACUGCAAUAAGUAAUGUGAAUUGCAGAAUUCAGUGAAUCAUCGAGUCUUUGAACGCACAUUGCGCCCCCUGGCAUUCCGGGGGGCAUGCCUGUCCGAGCGUCAUUGCUGCCCUUCAAGCCCGGCUUGUGUGUUGGGUCGUCGUCCCCCCCGGGGGACGGGCCCGAAAGGCAGCGGCGGCACCGCGUCCGGUCCUCGAGCGUAUGGGGCUUUGUCACCCGCUCGAUUAGGGCCGGCCGGGCGCCAGCCGGCGUCUCCAACCUUCUAUUUUACCAGGUUGACCUCGGAUCAGGUAGGGAUACCCGCUGAACUUAAGCAUAUCAAUAAGCAAGAGAAAAUA